CCGGUGAAGCUUCUUGCUAUCUUCGAUGGCCGUUCAACAUAGAGAAGCUUCUGAAAAUAAUUUGACAGUACUUUUGCAUAGUAACAGCAGAAAUGAAUAGUGAUCGAAGGGCAAAAGCCUUUUAUAGGCAGACCGAUGGUCUAGAUUGAUUGAUCUCCUUGUCGAUUUUCGACAUCUGGUGUUAAUCCGAUGCUCGGUCAAACGGCGGUUAGGUGUAUCUUUCC
Molecule: long non-coding RNA, 224 nt
Filed under: Elaeis guineensis (African oil palm)
Lineage: Eukaryota; Viridiplantae; Streptophyta; Magnoliopsida; Arecales; Arecaceae
Description: long non-coding RNA (EGUI_LNC015220)
Source: RNAcentral